Molecule: ribosomal RNA, 434 nt
Filed under: uncultured Clostridium sp.
Lineage: Bacteria; Bacillati; Bacillota; Clostridia; Eubacteriales; Clostridiaceae
Description: partial 16S ribosomal RNA
Rfam family: Bacterial small subunit ribosomal RNA
Source: RNAcentral
ACGGGAGGCAGCAGUGGGGAGUAUUAGGCAAUGGGGGAAACCCUGACCUAGCGACGCCGCGUGAAGGAUGAAGGUUUUCGGAUUGUAAACUUCUUUUAAGAGGGACGAUAAUGACGGUACCUCUUGAAUAAGCCACGGCUAACUACGUGCCAGCAGCCGCGGUAAUACGUAGGUGGCGAGCGUUGUCCGGAUUUACUGGGUGUAAAGGGCGAGUAGGCGGGCUAACAAGUCAGAUGUGAAAUACCGAGGCUCAACUUCGGGGCUGCAUUUGAAACUGUAAGUCUUGAGUGAUGGAGAGGUAGGCGGAAUUCCCAGUGUAGCGGUAAAAUGCAUAGAGAUUGGGAGGAACACCAGUGGCGAAGGCGGCCUGCUGGACAUUAACUGACGCUGAGGAGCGAAAGUGUGGGGAGCAAACAGGAUUAGAUACCCUGGUA